AUUGAACGCUGGCGGCAUGCCUUACACAUGCAAGUCGAACGGUAACGCGGGGCAACCUGGCGACGAGUGGCGAACGGGUGAGUAAUGUAUCGGAACGUGCCCAGUUGUGGGGGAUAACUGCUCGAAAGAGCAGCUAAUACCGCAUACGACCUGAGGGUGAAAGCGGGGGAUCGCAAGACCUCGCGCAAUUGGAGCGGCCGAUAUCAGAUUAGGUAGUUGGUGGGGUAAAGGCCCACCAAGCCAACGAUCUGUAGCUGGUCUGAGAGGACGACCAGCCACACUGGGACUGAGACACGGCCCAGACUCCUACGGGAGGCAGCAGUGGGGAAUUUUGGACAAUGGACGCAAGUCUGAUCCAGCCAUGCCGCGUGCGGGAAGAAGGCCUUCGGGUUGUAAACCGCUUUUGUCAGGGAAGAAAAGGGCGACUUUAAUACAGUUGCCUCAUGACGGUACCUGAAGAAUAAGCACCGGCUAACUACGUGCCAGCAGCCGCCGCUG
Molecule: ribosomal RNA, 498 nt
Filed under: uncultured bacterium
Lineage: Bacteria
Description: partial 16S ribosomal RNA
Rfam family: Bacterial small subunit ribosomal RNA
Source: RNAcentral